UGUGUAAAAAAAAACAAAAAAAAUUGAGAAAAAAAAAGAAAUUCAAACUCACUGGAUUAGCACGUUUAGUUUUCAAACUGCAUAGUUUCCGUACAGUUUUCAAACUCACUGAUUACCAGCGGAAACCAACCCACCCACCCACAUCUCUCCUCUAUUCCCCAUUUUCUGAUCAAACUUCUUCCUCACACAGACUCUGUAACCUCCCACGAUUCCACGGACAACUCUUUUCUUUCUGUUUUCUCUCUCUGCCUUUCGCCGUUUGUGAAGCAGAAACCACAUACAAAGCUCAAAAGCAGCAAAGGGUUAAAAACUAGCGUAUUGUAUCCGACGGGAAGAUCCUUCUGAAACCAAGGCAAUCCAAUCUGGGAUCCUUAAACCAUUGCCAUCCAAGAGCAUUCCCGCGUGCAGAUGACAUGCCUGAAUGAUCAACACCAGCACCCCACCCAACACUAGCAGCCUUUGGUUCUUCCACAGAGGAGGAUUUUUCAGAGACGUUUCCCGCAUAACCCUGCCAGCAUUGUAACUCUCUUCCAAAUCCAGUUUUUUUUUUCUCUAUAGCUUUUAUCCAUCUUUCUCAUUUUUCCUGGUAAUUUUUACUUUUUAAGAUUAAUUUGGUGUCUGGAAUCUUGCAUAUUAGGUGUUUGUGAAAAUUCCCCAGAGACUAAUCGAUAGUUUGAAUGUGUAAGUCGAGUGAAUUAAGGUUGUUGUAAUCUAUUUGUGUGUUUAAUCAGUAAUCCAGUGAAUUAAGGUUGCUGUAAAGAGACCAUCCACAAAUUAGUACGAACCAGAGAGCACUACGACUGCGAGGCCGCCGCCACCGCCGGAGCGAUCACUCCAAUUACAAUACCCGAGACAUCACCUUAUCCCAGGUAGGCAUUCGGCCGGCAACCAAACGCCGUCGUUUUGCUGUGAAAUUUGUUACCUGUCUCUGUCCACCCACCAAGAUCAAUCUCCAUCUCUCUCCUUCCACUUCCUUCCCACCUCUCUCAGGAAGGAAGGAAGCGAGGAAGGAAGAGAUGAGACGCACCGCAUCGGCGGAGGAGUUAUCAGCAUCCAUUUCGGGGCAGAGCUUGGCGUAGAGUUACUAUCAACCAUUUCGGGUAUGCCUGGACUUGCUACUUUCACUCAACCAUUCGCUAAUAUGCAUAUGAAACACCUUGCCAUCCAGACUUUCAUUCUUUCUGCAAUGCAAAUAAUGUCCACUGCCCAUCUUCUGAUACUAUAGUAUAAUAUGUUCCAUAAAAUGCUAAAUGUAGCGUAAUUGCUACUGGGAAAGUAGAUAUAAUCCCAUUUUCCUGUGUCAAUUUGGUGACUUUAGUCUCUUCAUAUCUGUGUUUCUGUCAUGACUCGAUCAUCUUGAUAACAAUUCAUCUAUUGAUUUUUUGAAACUGCUAUGAGCAGUUACGUUUGGGUUAUAUCUUUCGCCAUGACACAAAAAUUGACUCAUCUCAGUCUAUCGGAUAUUCAGUUUUUUUUCUUUCUUUCUUAUUUUUACCCCUUCUCUUUUGUGUUCUUGGCGUUUGAUUUCAUAUUAUUGGGAAUUAAUUGUCUUUUGUGGUAAAGUCAAGGUUUCUCAACUGGAAUUCGACAAAAGCUUUGCCGUGGAGAAGUAAUAUAGACUUUUAUGGUUUAAUAUAGACUUUUAUUGUAUUGCAUAAUUUCAGUUUACUAUCUACAAUUAGAUUUAUUGA
This is a non-coding RNA of Malus domestica (apple), 1691 nucleotides long. The record is from RefSeq and is a predicted model, not a curated record. Lineage: Eukaryota; Viridiplantae; Streptophyta; Magnoliopsida; Rosales; Rosaceae.